UACCCAGUUUCGGGGGCCUUGGUACAGGCAGGCCGGGGAUUCCCCUCUUUACACCCGGGGUUCAUCACGCAGACCGCGACGAACCCCCUCCCGUUUUGGGGAACCUUGGUACAGGCAGGCCGGGGAUUCCCUCUUUUAUUGCUCCUGGAGAUGGAUCUCCAACCGCCAGCGGUCAUUGACCUCGCUGCCGGCCC
RNAcentral lists this non-coding RNA (194 nucleotides) under Pseudomonas fluorescens HK44. RNAcentral's name for it is "Nitrogen regulated small RNA". It matches the Rfam family "Nitrogen regulated small RNA". Rfam says of the family: Its transcription is induced during nitrogen limitation by the NtrB/C two-component system (an important regulator of nitrogen assimilation and swarming motility) together with the alternative sigma factor RpoN (a global regulator involved in nitrogen metabolism). By activating rhlA (a gene essential for rhamnolipids synthesis) it positively regulates the production of rhamnolipid surfactants needed for swarming motility. The record is from Rfam by way of RNAcentral. Lineage: Bacteria; Pseudomonadati; Pseudomonadota; Gammaproteobacteria; Pseudomonadales; Pseudomonadaceae.